GAUGAACGCUGGCGGCGUGCCUAAUACAUGCAAGUCGAGCGAACAGACGAGGAGCUUGCUCCUCUGACGUUAGCGGCGGACGGGUGAGUAACACGUAGAUAACCUACCUAUAAGACUGGGAUAACUUCGGGAAACCGGAGCUAAUACCGGAUAAUAUAUUGAACCGCAUGGUUCAAUAGUGAAAGACGGUUUUGCUGUCACUUAUAAAUGGAUCCGCGCCGCAUUAGCUAGUUGGUAAGGUAACGGCUUACCAAGGCAACGAUGCGUAGCCAACCUGAGAGGGUGAUCGGCCACACUGGAACUGAGACACGGUCCAGACUCCUACGGGAGGCAGCAGUAGGGAAUCUUCCGCAAUGGGCGAAAGCCUGACGGAGCAACGCCGCGUGAGUGAUGAAGGUCUUCGGAUCGUAAAACUCUGUUAUUAGGGAAGAACAAAUGUGUAAGUAACUAUGCACGUCUUGACGGUACCUAAUCAGAAAGCCACGGCUAACUACGUG
RNAcentral lists this ribosomal RNA (497 nucleotides) under uncultured bacterium. Its description in RNAcentral is "partial 16S ribosomal RNA". It matches the Rfam family "Bacterial small subunit ribosomal RNA", at positions 28 to 507 of the family's 1533-position model. The record is from RNAcentral.